This 92-nucleotide transfer RNA is filed under the name Deinococcus indicus. RNAcentral's name for it is "tRNA-Thr". The record is from RNAcentral. Lineage: Bacteria; Thermotogati; Deinococcota; Deinococci; Deinococcales; Deinococcaceae.
CUGGUCGUCGCGGAUGGUGAAGCGCGGUCCGUCGUCUGGGCCGAGCAGGUCGUAACUGGCUCCCCACAGGGUCCGCAGGCCCUGUGCCUGGA